RNAcentral lists this long non-coding RNA (626 nucleotides) under Gallus gallus (chicken). Its description in RNAcentral is "long non-coding RNA NONGGAT003426". The record is from RNAcentral. Lineage: Eukaryota; Metazoa; Chordata; Aves; Galliformes; Phasianidae.
CUGACUUAUCCAUAGUAAGACUGCAAAAGUGCUCCAAAACAGAAGAAUGAAGUGACAGCUGAGGGCUCACGUGCACCUGCCCGGCAGCGUUACAUCCUGAUUUCAGAUUCCUUAGCUACAAAACUGUAUCUGGGAUACAUAGUUAAACAAAACCUGACACCUACCUGGGAACAAACCUCAUUGCUCAGGCAUGUUGCUCAUACCCUGCUUUGUCACAUGCUGCUCAGAGCUCAACCAGUCCCGGCUGUGGCCGAUGAUACCAGGGCUGGGCUACGCCACUAACCUGGUGAGAUACGGCAGGAGGAACCCCAGCAGGUGAAAAGGGCACUUUAGUCAGCAUGAUGUUGAGUGCUGGUUGAGCAACACGCCGGGAAGGAGAGGAGCCAGCAUCACUUCUGAUGACACACGAUACUCCCAACAACAAUAAUCCAUCAGUUAUGUUUCUGUGUGCUGGGGAUCACUGCAAGACAUUCCAGAUCCCUUAACUGGCCAGCAGUUUCACAGCAGCAGUGAAGUCUGACAGAUAAGAGUAAUGCUGAUCAACCACCAGCCCCAGGGAGCACUUUCACCUGUUCACGGAGUUCAAAGAUACAGCUGAUAGAGUCAGUAUCGUGGCUUGCAUACAU